GGCAGUAAUGCUGUCGGCGUCCUGCCGAGGAUCCCCAAAGGAACACGUCUGUCCUUCGGUGUCAGGUGGCAAGGGCCAAGCUGAGGGGACCUUGUGCUGUCAGAGCAGCAGCCAAGGCCUGAGGGGAAAGGCACAGCCACCAUCCCAGCCAAGGCCUGAGGGAAAGGCUCAGCCACCAUCCCAGCUGAUGUCCUGGGCUCCGUGUCCUCUGCCUGAUCGCCCACGGUGACUGUACCCAGCUGGGACACGGCUUUCCUGAGCUCUCCAGAGGGCCAGGGGAGUCCAGCUGCAGGCAGGGCUGAGUCUCCAUAACCAUCAUGUCAGAGCCACCAGCCCAGCCAGGGCUUCUCCUGCAGCCCUGAUACUGCUGGGGCACUUGAGGGACCUGUGGUGUGUGGCCCUGCAGCCUUCCCUGAAUGAGUGCUGGGAAAGCCCAGUUUGAGCAAAAGGACAUGGACAGCCCCUGCAGCACUGCUGGGCCUUGAAGCAAGCCCUGCCUCUGCCUUCAUCCUCACCCAGACAGGAACUCCAGGAAGACAACACCAACAGGUUCUGCUCAUCAGUGCUUGUUAGUGACACUGGAAUCAGACUGGACUCAACAGGAAGAGCUGGUUCACUGUUGAGGCUGCACUUGGGAGCCAGAUAAGAGAUAACAGAUACAGCACUAUACCCGGAAAAGAGCUGAGACAGUCUGGAAGGAAGAACCCUUCUUCUUGCCUCCCUUCUUGCCACCACCAGCCUCUUCAAAUUGAAUAAAGGGAAACAAAAAGGUUUUAAAUUAACAUGAAACAACUUUAAAUGUUAAUGUUUAUGGCUUUAAUUCCGAGAAAAGUUUGUCCCACAUUAAAAAUACAAUUUCCACAAAA
This is a non-coding RNA of Cyanistes caeruleus (blue tit), 866 nucleotides long. NCBI's taxonomy places the organism in Eukaryota, Metazoa, Chordata, Aves, Passeriformes, Paridae. The record is from RefSeq and is a predicted model, not a curated record.